UGGUUUAAUUCGAUGAUACGCGAGGAACCUUACCUGGACUCGAAUGCGCGUGACCGUGCCAGAGAUGGCACUUCUCUUCGGAGCACAAAGCAAGGUGCUGCAUGGUUGUCGUCAGCUCGUGCUGUGAGGUGUCGGGUUAAGUCCCAUAACGAGCGCAACCCCUAUCAUUAGUUACCAGCGAGUUAAGUCGGGGACUUUAAUGAAACUGCCCGUGUAAACGGUGAGGAAGGUGGGGAUGACGUCAAAUCAUCA
Molecule: ribosomal RNA, 252 nt
Filed under: Isochrysis galbana
Lineage: Eukaryota; Haptophyta; Isochrysidales; Isochrysidaceae
Description: partial Bacterial small subunit ribosomal RNA
Rfam family: Bacterial small subunit ribosomal RNA
Source: RNAcentral